GGCAGAUAUAAAAAAAAUAUAUAUUCUAUAUUUUUAUAGAACUCUUCUUCCAUGAAUGAGAUCUUCUCUCUUUGGAUGAAAAAAUAGAGAAGCAGAAGAGGGAAACAUGGCGGGAAAGCAUAGGUCAUGGAGAGCUUCGAGGCAAGGAAUACAAGAAAAACACGUGGAAGUAAAGCACCUUGGGAAAAGUUAAAAAAGCCAAACAAGCCGACAGAAGGUGGCGCAAUGAGAUCUGGUCUGUGACUGGGUCUGGUUCUGGUUCAUCACUGUUCUUCCCCCGUAUCCCGCCACCAUAUUCUCUUUUAUGGCCACAACAAACACUAGCCACAAACAAAGCAUGGCCUUCUUCUUCUUUCUCAUCAUUUUUGUUCUUUUGCUUGCUCUUGUUUCACUUGUGCUCCCAACAAGAUUGUCUUUUUCAUUUACUUGAUUUGAAUGAGAGUUAAUUUCAGGGAAUACUUUUUGUUUUUUAAGUAAAACAUAUUUUUAAUGCAUUAAUGUUGAAACCCAAGUCAGAGGGAAAAGAGUACAUAUGCAAUGUACAUUUGUACUACUGGAAUAUGAAAAUUUAUAAUGAGGGGCCACAGACAAGAGUGUGCUUGUGCAGUAUGCAGGUUCUCUGAGCUCUGAUUUGAUAUAUUUUAAAUCCUAUGGCUUUGUGAGGGAGGAAGAUCUG
RNAcentral lists this unclassified non-coding RNA (676 nucleotides) under Hevea brasiliensis (rubber tree). Lineage: Eukaryota; Viridiplantae; Streptophyta; Magnoliopsida; Malpighiales; Euphorbiaceae. The record is from RNAcentral.